UCUAGGCAAUAGCUCUCCAAAAUGAUCAAGAUGAAGUGGACAUAACAGCAGCCGGGAAUGACAUUGAUGAUACAUUUAUUACAUACAACGAUAUUGUUGACGAUGAUGAUAACCUGUUUGGUAUCAUGAACCUGUACAUAAAGAGUGAUCUACACUUCGACUUACACAACAUACCAGCAUCAGCCGAGCACUCUGACCAGAAGAAAGACUUUGGAUAUAAAUUCUUUUCAUUUUCAACAUUCUUUAAAUAAUAUAUUAAAGAACAGAAAAAUA
This is a long non-coding RNA of Ruditapes philippinarum (Manila clam), 273 nucleotides long. RefSeq lists it as uncharacterized. The record is from RefSeq and is a predicted model, not a curated record. NCBI's taxonomy places the organism in Eukaryota, Metazoa, Mollusca, Bivalvia, Venerida, Veneridae. The transcript is spliced from 2 exons.